This 534-nucleotide long non-coding RNA is filed under the name Brassica rapa (field mustard). Its description in RNAcentral is "long non-coding RNA (BRAP_LNC003864)". Lineage: Eukaryota; Viridiplantae; Streptophyta; Magnoliopsida; Brassicales; Brassicaceae. The record is from RNAcentral.
CAACACUCGUAUGCCGCCGCGUUUAACGGCGCUUUAACGGUAACGCCAACCGCCUAAAUUACGCUUUUCCCGUAAUAUAAUACGACUGUUAAAUAAACAAGUUUAAUUUCGUUUCCGUGAUUAGUAAAUGAAACACAACUAGGGUGAACAAAAAAAAACUAAAUGUAUACCUACUACGUCAGUAAUCGACAGUGAUUCCAAAAUUAUUCAGACGAUGAUUAUGAAAGAAAUAAUUAAAAGGAGACACGAGUGCGUGUUACAGUGUGUAUAAAAAAUAAGAUACGUAAUGAAUAAGUGGUCCUCUGUGUGGUUGUAGAGUUCCAAUAAGGUGUUUUGUACAAAGCAUAACUCUUAACACGUGGCUCGCACUUGGACACGAUGGGACCAGCUUCACGCGCGCUCAAACGUUGGAACGAAUAUCAGCGGCGCUCAGCCGACGGAACCAUCUUCUAUAGUGACUGCCUGUCAUGUUACCACAUUACACAGCCGCCACAUGUCCCCAUUAGUGGUAACAUGUGUCAAGAUGAAGCUACU